This 763-nucleotide long non-coding RNA is filed under the name Marmota monax (woodchuck). The record is from RNAcentral. Lineage: Eukaryota; Metazoa; Chordata; Mammalia; Rodentia; Sciuridae.
GCUGGGGCUGAGCCUUCUAGACUGAGGUGGCCAACUUAGCCAGCUAUUUAAGGCUUCAGGGCAGAGGAAAGAGCAGUCUAGGGCUUGGGUUUUGUUGGAUUUGGCUGCUAACUCUCAGGCAUCUUGUUUAGCUGUGGCUCGCCUUAUUGCCUGCCUUCUGCUCUGCCUUUAAGACAUUGUCUUUUUAACUCCUAAAGUGCUCAAUGGAAACUUUUGGAAAAUCAGGUUUCAAGCUGAACAAAACUGUGAACUUUUCAAUGCUGAAAAUCUCUAUGGAAGAUAGAAAGCCCCAGCCAGAUGUGAUCAAAAGUAGAUGAACUUAGAAACAUGUUCAGUCCUAGAUUAAGUCAGAGUAUUUGGAUUGCAGAAAGUGGUGGAUGAUGUAAAAGCUCUGAUUUAUCUAGGGACAUUAAAAGCUUUAAGGGAGCAAAACAUAGCAUCAAGGUAAAGAGCUAAAUGAUAACAAGAGAGAAGAAUCACCAUCAUUCCAGGCAGGUUUCUGAAAGCAAAUGGAUGAAAAGAUUAUUAAAUCCACUGGUGAUAAAUGUUCUCCAUUACUCAAUUCAUUUUUCAGGCUCUGAAAGGAAAAAGGCUAAGCUAAAGAGUUUUAGAAUUGAAGCUGCAAAUGAAAUAUGGAUAGGCACAGGGCUAACCCACGUGUGUCAGUGUGAUGACCUCUUUGGGCAGUUGUAGUUCUAAGUAUGACAUCCUCUCUAGCAGAAGUCUAACUUUUUAGAUGGAAGUUUAGGGUCCCAAGUUUUCU